This 350-nucleotide ribosomal RNA is filed under the name uncultured bacterium. RNAcentral describes it as "bacterial SSU rRNA". It matches the Rfam family "Bacterial small subunit ribosomal RNA", at positions 355 to 718 of the family's 1533-position model. The record is from RNAcentral.
UGGGGAAUUUUCCGCAAUGGGCGAAAGCCUGACGGAGCAAUACCGCGUGAGGGAAGACUGCCCAUGGGUUGUAAACCUCUUUUUUCAGGGAGGAAAAAAAUGACGUGUACCUGAAGAAUAAGCAUCGGCUAACUCCGUGCCAGCAGCCGCGGUAAGACGGAGGAUGCAAGUGUUAUCCGGAAUCACUGGGCGUAAAGCGUCUGUAGGUGGUUUAACAAGUCGGAUGUUAAAUCUUGAAGCUUAACUUCAAAACCGCAUUCGAAACUGUUAAACUUGAGUAUGGUAGAGGUAAAGGGAAUUUCCAGUGGAGCGGUGAAAUGCGUAGAUAUUGGAAAGAACACCGGUGGCGA